CUUUCUGCCAAACCUGAACAGGAUUAGCCUUGUUGUUGCCUAAUUAAGCAGAUUCAACAGUGUUUGUCUUUUCUGCUCAGUUAGUGGUGACUUACAUUAACUAGCCUGUUUAAAACGUGUUUGUUUGCGUCCUGUUUGAAACCGAUUGCUUGGCCUCCUGUAUUGCUGCUUGUAUCUUUCUUAACUACAUUUUUCAUCAACGGUGCUGUCUCGUCAUUUUUAUCGCUAACGAAUUUAACACUUCAGCAGAGGUAUUCAUUUCCAAACAGGCUUUAGUGGCUUGAUGGCUUUAAAGUUAAAGUAUGGAUUUAAUUUGCUGACAGUAAUGAUAUUAGCGUUAGAAGUUAGCAGCACACCUAAACAACUGGACCCAGGGAGAGUCGCCUGAGUGAGACGGAGGAAGACAUCUCUCUUUGCAGUGUUUCCAGCAGCAGCACCUGAAGAAUCUGCAAUUGACAUGCUGCGACGGUCCACUACAUUGUGCGACGUUUCCGAGAGGCAGCAACUGGCAACUGUAAAGGAAUUCUAGGUUUGCCGAUGGAGACAGAUGGCGUGGGGCCCCAUGGCCUCGGCCCCUGCAGAUUGAUUAUUGAUCGGGAAGACAGAGAUGGAUCGAGGGGUGGAGAGGACACCGAGGAGCGGGGAGACAGCUGUGGACGGGAGGCGAAGGAGUGGGAGGAUUUCAAGGAAUUUAUGUUUUAAGAGUGGGGCUAAAGGAUGGGGAGAGGAGGGAGAAGAGGCUGAGGAUGCGGGUACAGCAAAGGUUUUCUUUUGCUCAGCCAUCACCUUGAGAGGGAGCUAUUGACUAGGCUCCAGAUUUAUAACCAAAAUCCAAAGUGUUUUGGAUUCUGUUUAGGAUUUCAAAGUUAUUGCUCAUUUAUUGUCAAUGAAUGUCCCACGCUCACUUUAAAUAGAUAUUAAUCAUUGCUAUGGGUGCAAAUGCUGCAUAUCUAAAAAAGCAAACGUUUCAUGAAUGAAGAAAAAGAACUUUAUGUUGAGACUUGGGGGUAUGCAGGUUGAAUUUAAGGGGUCACAUGAUUCAUUUUGCAGAUAAAGAAUCAUCUAAACUUUCUGUUGAUAAAUGAAAACUAUACAGUAGCAAAGUCACA
Perca fluviatilis (European perch) is the source of this 1109-nucleotide long non-coding RNA. RefSeq lists it as uncharacterized. The transcript has 3 exons. Lineage: Eukaryota; Metazoa; Chordata; Actinopteri; Perciformes; Percidae. The record is from RefSeq and is a predicted model, not a curated record.